This is a long non-coding RNA of Tyto alba (common barn owl), 1260 nucleotides long. RefSeq lists it as uncharacterized. The record is from RefSeq and is a predicted model, not a curated record. Lineage: Eukaryota; Metazoa; Chordata; Aves; Strigiformes; Tytonidae. The transcript has 3 exons.
CCGCCCCUCUCAUGUGACCUACGGAGGGGGGAAGGCAGGCCGCGCCGGCCCUGCGCCGCCACCCCCGCCGCCACAGGGUCGCCGGCCGCCGCCGUGCUGCCUCCUCCCCUCAGGGGGCGGUGGCUCCCCGGCCGUGCCAUGCGGCGGAGCCGGCCUGGAGCGAGGACCCCUUCUCCCGCCUUCCCGCUACUCCUGUUCGGUGCUCCCUCCCCGGCAGGUUUCGCACGGUGCGGCCUGGCAGCGCUGAGGACUCUAACACGGCUUCCCUGAGUCAAAGUAUCUGUGUGAUUUCUUAAGUCCUCAGUAAAGAUCUUCAGUGAGAUACCACUGGAGUUGGGAUAUCAGCAGCCUCCAAAGUCUGUAAAGGCUGGCAUGGGACAGAGCACUGUCUAGGAAGCUGUGUUGAGAGCACUCACCUCUUGACACCGCUGCUAAUAGGUGGUUGUUACAGACCAUUUUGCUGAGAGCUGAGGUUUGGCUCUGACACCUGCUCUGGUUAUAAAGAGUUUUACCUCACCUAGAAAUCAUAAACAACACAGACCUUUAAAAUAUUCCUAUUUCAUAUUUCAAAUUAAACAUUGUUAUGUUUAGUAAGUGUAUGUAUAAAAAGGAUAUGAUUACAUAAAACAGAAGCAUUACCUUGAUAAGAGAUUUAUUUUGAAAUGUGUGUCUAUAAAGUGCAAUUACAGAAUGGUUUUAAAUCUGAAUUCAGAUGAACUGACAGUGGGCUUUGAAUACUUUUGCACACUGAGCAAACUGUUAAUUUACAUUAGAGGGGAAUUUGGUUCAUGAGAAAAAUUCUGGUUAUAUAUCCAGGUUGUUUGCUUUCAUUUAAUCUGUGUUGGUUUACACCUUUACAUAAAAUAUAUUCCUUUAUUUUGUUAUUUUUGUUUGUCAGUAUAAUAUUUUUAUCUCUUUCCUAUAUUUCAGUAUAACUUAAUAUACUUUAGCUGUAAGUAAAAUUCUAGUGCAAAAUAAAAGACAGCCCAAUCGCUAAUUCUAAUAGCAGAGAAGAGUGAGCCGUGGAGAACAGUCCUCUUCCCACCAGUUCAGUGCAAAAUUCCUGUUGACUUCAUGGAAGCAUUACCAGGUUUUAAAAUUCUUCAUAUUAAAAUGAUUUUUUGAUGCAAGCAAGGUAUGAAAAAAAGUCUGUCCUAGUUAUAAGUGAUCAGCUGAGAUAUUUUAUACAGACUUCAUGGUGAAAUCAGACAAUUCUAAACUUGUGAGAUAAGCAAAAUGUGCUUUAUUAUUGACUUAAGC